Molecule: ribosomal RNA, 1343 nt
Filed under: uncultured bacterium
Lineage: Bacteria
Description: 16S ribosomal RNA
Rfam family: Bacterial small subunit ribosomal RNA
Source: RNAcentral
GACGAACGCUGGCGGCGUGCUUAACACAUGCAAGUCGAACGGAAAGGCCCUGCUUUUGUGGGGUGCUCGAGUGGCGAACGGGUGAGUAACACGUGAGUAACCUGCCCUUGACUUUGGGAUAACUUCAGGAAACUGGGGCUAAUACCGGAUAGGAGCUCCUGCUGCAUGGUGGGGGUUGGAAAGUUUCGGCGGUUGGGGAUGGACUCGCGGCUUAUCAGCUUGUUGGUGGGGUAGUGGCUUACCAAGGCUUUGACGGGUAGCCGGCCUGAGAGGGUGACCGGCCACAUUGGGACUGAGAUACGGCCCAGACUCCUACGGGAGGCAGCAGUGGGGAAUAUUGCACAAUGGGCGGAAGCCUGAUGCAGCAACGCCGCGUGCGGGAUGACGGCCUUCGGGUUGUAAACCGCUUUCGCCUGUGACGAAGCGUGAGUGACGGUAAUGGGUAAAGAAGCACCGGCUAACUACGUGCCAGCAGCCGCGGUGAUACGUAGGGUGCGAGCGUUGUCCGGAUUUAUUGGGCGUAAAGGGCUCGUAGGUGGUUGAUCGCGUCGGAAGUGUAAUCUUGGGGCUUAACCCUGAGCGUGCUUUCGAUACGGGUUGACUUGAGGAAGGUAGGGGAGAAUGGAAUUCCUGGUGGAGCGGUGGAAUGCGCAGAUAUCAGGAGGAACACCAGUGGCGAAGGCGGUUCUCUGGGCCUUUCCUGACGCUGAGGAGCGAAAGCGUGGGGAGCGAACAGGCUUAGAUACCCUGGUAGUCCACGCUGUAAACGGUGGGUACUAGGUGUGGGGUCCAUUCCACGGGUUCCGUGCCGUAGCUAACGCUUUAAGUACCCCGCCUGGGGAGUACGGCCGCAAGGCUAAAACUCAAAGGAAUUGACGGGGCCCCGCACAAGCGGCGGAGCAUGCGGAUUAAUUCGAUGCAACGCGUAGAACCUUACCUGGGUUUGACAUGGAUCGGGAGCGCUCAGAGAUGGGUGUGCCUCUUUUGGGGUCGGUUCACAGGUGGUGCAUGGCUGUCGUCAGCUCGUGUCGUGAGAUGUUGGGUUAAGUCCCGCAACGAGCGCAACCCUUGUUCACUGUUGCCAGCACGUUAUGGUGGGGACUCAGUGGAGACCGCCGUGGUCAACUCGGAGGAAGGUGGGGAUGACGUCAAGUCAUCAUGCCCCUUAUGUCCAGGGCUUCACGCAUGCUACAAUGGCUGGUACAGAGAGUGGCGAGCCUGUGAGGGUGAGCGAAUCUCGGAAAGCCGGUCUCAGUUCGGAUUGGGGUCUGCAACUCGACCUCAUGAAGUCGGAGUCGCUAGUAAUCGCAGAUCAGCAACGCUGCGGUGAAUACGUUCCCGGG